ACGAACGCUGGCGGCGUGCUUAACACCUGCAAGUCGAACGGAAAGGCCCUGCUUUUGUGGGGUGCUCGAGUGGCGAACGGGUGAGUAACACGUGAGUAACCUGCCCUUGACUUUGGGAUAACUUCAGGAAACUGGGGCUAAUACCGGAUAGGAGCUCCUGCUGCAUGGUGGGGGUUGGAAAGUUUCGGCGGUUGGGGAUGGACUCGCGGCUUAUCAGCUUGUUGGUGGGGUAGUGGCUUACCAAGGCUUUGACGGGUAGCCGGCCUGAGAGGGUGACCGGCCACAUUGGGACUGAGAUACGGCCCAGACUCCUACGGGAGGCAGCAGUGGGGAAUAUUGCACAAUGGGCGGAAGCCUGAUGCAGCAACGCCGCGUGCGGGAUGACGGCCUUCGGGGUGUAAACCGCUUUCGCCUGUGACGAAGCGUGAGUGACGGUAAUGGGUAAAGAAGCACCGGCUAACUACGUG
Molecule: ribosomal RNA, 467 nt
Filed under: uncultured bacterium
Lineage: Bacteria
Description: partial 16S ribosomal RNA
Rfam family: Bacterial small subunit ribosomal RNA
Source: RNAcentral